Long non-coding RNA from Lotus japonicus, 1429 nucleotides. RefSeq lists it as uncharacterized. The transcript is spliced from 2 exons. The record is from RefSeq and is a predicted model, not a curated record. Lineage: Eukaryota; Viridiplantae; Streptophyta; Magnoliopsida; Fabales; Fabaceae.
AGUGACCCGGUUUGGUUGCGCCGCGAAGCCCAAAAACCCUAAUGACACAAUACAAAUGGCCCCGAUAGCAAGCAUAAUGUUCAUUUCCCCUUUGCCUUAGGGUUUCAUCUCACGCGUUAAUGGCUCGCCGGAUGGUAUCUUCCUUUUUCUGAUCCCGAUUUGCGUCCGGAGAUGGAGACCUCUUUGUGUGGGGAGGAGCUGUUGGUUUGGCUCUGGGUCUGGGCGUGAGCCAGACCCAUUUCUCCCGCAGUAGCAGCGAUGAUGAUGAUGAUGAUAAGAAGGUGGAGUACCACGCUGAAUCUGGAUGUACUGUUGCAAUCGGCAGUAAUGCGCCCCUUGGACGACUUUUCAAUGUUUAGCACUGUAUACAGACUGCUAGCAGUGGUUGAGGAUGAAUUCAACAACUGCCAGCAGUCUGUAUACAGUGCUAAUGCUUUGUCCUCUCGUGCUGCGGCUGCAGCACUCCUCCUUAAGGCAAGUGAGGAAGAGCUUGAGAAGCUUCAGCUGGCAGCAGCCCCACUGCGGUGGUAACUACCACCAAUGCAGCCUCAGAGGCCAAGAACUCACUUAAGAUCUUCUGAAGCUUGACGAAAUUUGGGGUUCUGACGGCUCUAAGCUGGCUAGCGAUGCGGUGGAGAUCACGAACAAGGUAGCGGAAGCCACCUUAAAGGCCCAAUCGGACAUCGGGAACAUGCUUUCCCUGUCAGUUCAGAAUGCCCCUCUUCUCACCUCUCUGGAAGAAGAUUGCAGGACUCAAGCCAAGAGGGCGAAAGAACUUGCUGAGAGGAUUAAAUGGAAAGUGGAUAAUCAUGGCUAUUGCAGAGGAGGGCCCGCCCAACUCGCAGUGGAUGUUGAGCGUGGCGAAACAGCAGUCUGUGCUGCUGAGGAUGCAGCAGCCCAGGGUCUUUCAAAGAUGAAGACUCAGUGCGAAAAACAAAUGAGGUGAUUUCUGAAUGAUGACGUUGCACUGGCUCUGCACUUCAUGUUAGGGGUUUCAAGAUUACUUUGAAUGCCUUGAUUUUGAUGGAUUGUAAUUAACUAACCAAAGAGCAGUGUUCUACGUACUCUCUCUAUCACCGUGUUCCUAAUUUGAGUUUUGGUUGUUCGCCUGAAUCUUCUUGAAAAAAGUCUGUAAUUAGCAAUGAUUGAUUUACGUUAUUAUGGUACUUAUCUUCGGAUUUCUCUUUUGGUACACGUCGACCAUAAUCUUGGGAAAUUAGAUGUAAUAGUGUGUACCUUUGGGCCUUUUGAGGUCUGUCGUUAAUUAGCUUACUUUGUAGCCAUGUUAAUUAGCUUACUUGGGAGAGAGAGAGCACUCUCGAAAUUGCUCUUGUUCAUUUCAUUUCCUUUGUACUACUGCAUACACUGCUUCUGGGCUCAUUCCAGAGGAUUCAGUGCUAUUUUAGUAUAAUCCGUUCCUAUUUUCCUA